CAGAAUUCGGCUUAGAGUUUGAUCCUGGCUCAGGACGAACGAUGGCGGCGUGCCUAACACAUGCAAGUCGAGCGGGUAGACGCCUUCGGGUGUCUUCUAGCGGCGGACGGGUGAGUAACGCGUGAGCAACCUUUCCUUCACAGGGGUAUAACGCAGCGAAAGAUGUGCUAAUACCGCAUGAGACCACAGAGCUACAUAGCUAAGGGGUCAAAGGAGAAAUCCGGUGAAGGGUGGGCUCGCGUCUGAUUAGCUAGUUGGUGAGGUAACGGCUCACCAAGGCGACGACGGGUAGCUGGUCUGAGAGGAUGGUCAGCCGGACUGGGACUGAGACACGGCCCAGACUCCUACGGGGGGCAGCAAUUAGGAAUCUUGCGCAAUGGGGGAAACCCUGACGCAGCGACGCCGCGUGAAGGAUGACGGCCUUCGGGUUGUAAACUUCUUUUAAGAGGGAAGAAGCAAGUGACGGUACCUCUUAAUAAGCCCCGGCUACUCGCUCUAC
RNAcentral lists this ribosomal RNA (499 nucleotides) under uncultured bacterium. Its description in RNAcentral is "bacterial SSU rRNA". It matches the Rfam family "Bacterial small subunit ribosomal RNA", at positions 1 to 509 of the family's 1533-position model. The record is from RNAcentral.